Molecule: ribosomal RNA, 435 nt
Filed under: uncultured bacterium
Lineage: Bacteria
Description: bacterial SSU rRNA
Rfam family: Bacterial small subunit ribosomal RNA
Source: RNAcentral
UCGAGGAUCUUCGGCAAUGGGCGCAAGCCUGACCGAGCGACGCCGAGUGCGCGAUGAAGGCCUUCGGGUUGUAAAGCGCUGUCGAGGGGGAGGAAAGCCCGCAAGGGUCUGACCUAUCCCUGGAGGAAGCACGGGCUAAGUUCGUGCCAGCAGCCGCGGUAAGACGAACCGUGCGAACGUUGUUCGGAAUCACUGGGCUUAAAGGGCGCGUAGGCGGUCGAUCACGUCCGGGGUGAAAGCUUUCGGCUUAACCGGAAAAGUGCCUUGGAUACGGAUCGGCUUGAGGGAGGUAGGGGCAGGUGGAACUUCCGGUGGAGCGGUGAAAUGCGUUGAUAUCGGAAGGAACGCCGGUGGCGAAAGCGACCUGCUGGAUCUCUUCUGACGCUGAGGCGCGAAAGCUAGGGGAGCAAACGGGAUUAGAUACCCCCGUAGUCC